UCCCUAGCGGUCCAGUGGUUAAGACUCGGUGCUUUCACUGCUGGGGCCUGGGUUCAAUCCCUGGUUGGGGAA
RNAcentral lists this transfer RNA (72 nucleotides) under Bos taurus (domestic cattle). It matches the Rfam family "tRNA". Rfam says of the family: Transfer RNA (tRNA) molecules are approximately 80 nucleotides in length. Their secondary structure includes four short double-helical elements and three loops (D, anti-codon, and T loops). Further hydrogen bonds mediate the characteristic L-shaped molecular structure. tRNAs have two regions of fundamental functional importance: the anti-codon, which is responsible for specific mRNA codon recognition, and the 3' end, to which the tRNAs corresponding amino acid is attached (by aminoacyl-tRNA synthetases). tRNAs cope with the degeneracy of the genetic code in two manners: having more than one tRNA (with a specific anti-codon) for a particular amino acid; and 'wobble' base-pairing, i.e. permitting non-standard base-pairing at the 3rd anti-codon position. RNAcentral also lists the same sequence under 4 other names. Lineage: Eukaryota; Metazoa; Chordata; Mammalia; Artiodactyla; Bovidae. The record is from Rfam by way of RNAcentral.